AGUCGAGCGGACGAAGGGAGCUUGCUCCCGGAUGUUAGCGGCGGACGGGUGAGUACACGUGGGUAACCUGCCUGUAAGACUGGGAUAACUCCGGGAAACCGGAGCUAAUACCGGAUAGUUCCUUGAACCGCAUGGUUCAAGGAUGAAAGACGGUUUCGGCUGUCACUUACAGAUGGACCCGCGGCGCAUUAGCUAGUUGGUGAGGUAACGGCUCACCAAGGCGACGAUGCGUAGCCGACCUGAGAGGGUGAUCGGCCACACUGGGACUGAGACACGGCCCAGACUCCUACGGGAGGCAGCAGUAGGGAAUCUUCCGCAAUGGACGAAAGUCUGACGGAGCAACGCCGCGUGAGUGAUGAAGGUUUUCGGAUCGUAAAGCUCUGUUGUUAGGGAAGAACAAGUGCAAGAGUAACUGCUUGCACCUUGACGGUACCUAACCAGAAAGCCACGGCUAACUACGUGCCAGCAGCCGCGGUAAUACGUAGGUGGCAAGCGUUGUCCGGAAUUAUUGGGCGUAAAGGGCUCGCAGGCGGUUUCUUAAGUCUGAUGUGAAAGCCCCCGGCUCAACCGGGGAGGGUCAUUGGAAACUGGGAAACUUGAGUGCAGAAGAGGAGAGUGGAAUUCCACGUGUAGCGGUGAAAUGCGUAGAGAUGUGGAGGAACACCAGUGGCGAAGGCGACUCUCUGGUCUGUAACUGACGCUGAGGAGCGAAAGCGUGGGGAGCGAACAGGAUUAGAUACCCUGGUAGUCCACGCCGUAAACGAUGAGUGCUAAGUGUUAGGGGGUUUCCGCCCCUUAGUGCUGCAGCUAACGCAUUAAGCACUCCGCCUGGGGAGUACGGUCGCAAGACUGAAACUCAAAGGAAUUGACGGGGGCCCGCACAAGCGGUGGAGCAUGUGGUUUAAUUCGAAGCAACGCGAAGAACCUUACCAGGUCUUGACAUCCUCUGACAACCCUAGAGAUAGGGCUUUCCCUUCGGGGACAGAGUGACAGGUGGUGCAUGGUUGUCGUCAGCUCGUGUCGUGAGAUGUUGGGUUAAGUCCCGCAACGAGCGCAACCCUUGAUCUUAGUUGCCAGCAUUCAGUUGGGCACUCUAAGGUGACUGCCGGUGACAAACCGGAGGAAGGUGGGGAUGACGUCAAAUCAUCAUGCCCCUUAUGACCUGGGCUACACACGUGCUACAAUGGACAGAACAAAGGGCUGCGAGACCGCAAGGUUUAGCCAAUCCCACAAAUCUGUUCUCAGUUCGGAUCGCAGUCUG
This 1261-nucleotide ribosomal RNA is filed under the name Bacillus sp. DS1.pah.1. RNAcentral describes it as "bacterial SSU rRNA". It matches the Rfam family "Bacterial small subunit ribosomal RNA", at positions 60 to 1307 of the family's 1533-position model. The record is from RNAcentral. Lineage: Bacteria; Bacillati; Bacillota; Bacilli; Caryophanales; Bacillaceae.